GACGAACGCUGGCGGCGUGCCUAAUACAUGCAAGUAGAACGCUGAAGCUUGGUGCUUGCACCGAGCGGAUGAGUUGCGAACGGGUGAGUAACGCGUAGGUAACCUGCCUGGUAGCGGGGGAUAACUAUUGGAAACGAUAGCUAAUACCGCAUAACAGUAGAUAUCGCAUGAUAGCUACGUGAAAGGUGCAAAUGCACCACUACCAGACGGACCUGCGUUGUAUUGGCUAGUUGGUGAGGUAACGGCUCACCAAGGCAACGUUAGAUAGCCGACCUGAGAGGGUGGUCGGCCACACUGGGACUGAGACACGGCCCAGACGCCUCCGGGAGGCAGCAGUAGGGAAUCGUCGGCAAUGGGCGGAAGUCUGACCGAGCUACGCCGCGUGAGUGAAGAAGGUUUUCGGGUCGUAAAGCUCGGUUGUAAGGGAAGAACGAGUGUGAGAGUGGAAAGUUCACACUGUGACGGUAACUUACCAGAAAGGAACGGCUAACUACGUG
This 497-nucleotide ribosomal RNA is filed under the name uncultured bacterium. Its description in RNAcentral is "partial 16S ribosomal RNA". It matches the Rfam family "Bacterial small subunit ribosomal RNA", at positions 28 to 507 of the family's 1533-position model. The record is from RNAcentral.